UUUAAAAAAAAAAAAAAAUCUCUUUCUAAAUGCUACACUAUGCAACUAGAAUUGAUUUACAAAAGAAAUCCUAUGUAAGUAGCAUCAAGAUAGCAAAGGACAGUAGCAACAAACCUAACAUGUAUUGGAUGACAAAAUAAGCAUUAUAUCUCUCGAGAUGCACUAGAAAAAAACAACAUAAGCAACCUCUUUGCUUACCUUAGAAGAAGGGACAUUAAACCA
Molecule: unclassified non-coding RNA, 222 nt
Filed under: Hevea brasiliensis (rubber tree)
Lineage: Eukaryota; Viridiplantae; Streptophyta; Magnoliopsida; Malpighiales; Euphorbiaceae
Source: RNAcentral